RNAcentral lists this long non-coding RNA (905 nucleotides) under Oryctolagus cuniculus (rabbit). RNAcentral's name for it is "lncRNA (ENSOCUG00000036185.1)". Lineage: Eukaryota; Metazoa; Chordata; Mammalia; Lagomorpha; Leporidae. The record is from RNAcentral.
CGGUACCCAGCACAGUGCGGCCUUGCUCACCGCCACGCAGAGCUUCCCAAGAGGCCCCGCCCCCCGGCACCCCAGGCCGCGCACGCCCGUGCUGAGGGGCACAGCUGACCCGCGUCCCCGCUCCUGCUGGCCGUGUGGGCGUCACCAGGCAGGUGGAAGUCCGCACUUCCUGCGGCGACUCCCGGGGGCCUCACCCUCCACCCCCGGCCUGGCGCCGGCUGCACCCCGCUCUCAGCCACCUGGCAGCAGGACACGGGCCCAACGGCCAGGGCACGGAGUGCGGGCGCCGGCCACACUUGCUCAAACUUACUUUUUUUCUUCUUGAAGUUUUUCCUUUUCCUAAACUUCAUGUUGAUUUUUGGCCACGACUCUGUCUUUUCAAUGACCGUGGCUUCCACUCGGACGAGGUCCUUUCUAGAAGAAAACACACACUGACGGAUCCCGCGGACGGCCCCUCCGUCCACACACUGGCGGAUCCGGGGACGGCCCCUCCGUCCACACUGGCGGAUCCGGGGGACAGCCCCUCCGUCCACACUGGCGGAUCCGGGGACGGCCCCUCCGUGGCCCCGACGCCUUUGCUGAGGACUCCCAGGGGAGGUCGCGCCCUGUUCUCCUCUGACGCAGAAGCAGCUGCCCUCGCUGGGAACAUUCCGGAAGCCACACAAAAGCCUGACAAAGCGUGGAGUGAGCGAUGGGCGAGUCCCGGGUCAGUGACUGGGGCGGGCCUUCUCCUCACGCGAUGCUACCCGCCCACCCCGUGCCGGUGCCGCGCCGACAGCGAUGUCCCCGCCCGGCCUAACUGCUCCAGGUCCUCAGCCCGCACGGCCCGGCCCCGGGCAGCGCCUUACCCCAGGAGUGGCCUGCCGAGCAGCGUGAAGCCGUCUGCCCCAACCAGCAGGACCUGA